UUUUUUAUAUUAUAGAAAAAAUGAUGUGUGCUAACACCUUCCAACAGUCUAUCUGACUUUUGAAAAGAUGCCAUUUCACACCUCUAUGAUGGAUUACAAAAUCAUCAUUCGGAUUUAGGAAUUUGCUCUUAAACUAGAUUAAUUAGGGCGGCUAGAUCAACCCACUCUAACUCCAGCUAAACUUAAUUACAUAAAGUAAAAUAUAGUCAAGCCUCUUGUACCCAUAUAAGUGAGUGGGCAAAAACCAUUGCAUUGGAAAAUACUAGCUUCAGAAAGAUAACGAAGCCU
RNAcentral lists this long non-coding RNA (288 nucleotides) under Ricinus communis (castor bean). Its description in RNAcentral is "long non-coding RNA (RCOM_LNC002782)". The record is from RNAcentral. Lineage: Eukaryota; Viridiplantae; Streptophyta; Magnoliopsida; Malpighiales; Euphorbiaceae.